AAUACUACCUAGUGACCGAUAGCGUAUAGUACCGUGAGGGAAAGGUGAAAAGAACCCCGGGAGGGGAGUGAAAUAGAACCUGAAACCCUGCACUUACAAGCUGUGGAAGCACAUUUCUUGUGUGACCGCGUACUUUUUGUAGAACGGGCCAACGAGUUACGUUAAGUAGCCAGGUUAAGCACUUAAGGUGCGGAGCCGUAGCGAAAGCGAGUUUUAACUGAGCGUUCAGUUACUUGACGUAGACCCGAAACCGGGCGACCUACCCAUGAGCAGGAUGAAGCGAAAGUAAAAUUUCGGGGAGGUCCGAACCCACGAGCG
This 318-nucleotide ribosomal RNA is filed under the name Clostridioides difficile. RNAcentral describes it as "bacterial LSU rRNA". It matches the Rfam family "Bacterial large subunit ribosomal RNA", at positions 469 to 788 of the family's 2925-position model. Lineage: Bacteria; Bacillati; Bacillota; Clostridia; Peptostreptococcales; Peptostreptococcaceae. The record is from RNAcentral.